AUUGAACGCUGGCGGCAUGCUUUACACAUGCAAGUCGAACGAGUGGCGAACGGGUGAGACAUAUAUCGGAACGUACCGAGUAAGGGGGGAUAACAAAUCGAAAGAUUGUCUAAUACCGCAUAUUAUUCGAGCGGCCGGUCACUGAGUAGCUGGUUGGUGGGGUAAAGGCCUACAAAGGCGACGAACAGUAGCGGGUCUGAGAGGACGAUCCCCCACACUGGGACUGUGACACAGCCCAGACUCCGACGGGGGGCAUCAGUGGGGCGUUUUGGACAAUGGGGGCAACCCUGAUCAAGCCAUGCCGCGUGUAUGAAGAAGGCCGUCGGGGUGUAAAGUACUUUUGUUAGGGAAGCGGUACCUACAGAAUAAUCACCGGCUAACUACGUGCCAGCAGCCGCGGUAAUUC
Molecule: ribosomal RNA, 406 nt
Filed under: uncultured bacterium
Lineage: Bacteria
Description: partial 16S ribosomal RNA
Rfam family: Bacterial small subunit ribosomal RNA
Source: RNAcentral